UACGUAGGGCGCAAGCGUUAUCCGGAAUUAUUGGGCGUAAAGAGCUCGUAGGCGGUUUGUCGCGUCUGCCGUGAAAGUCCGGGGCUCAACUCCGGAUCUGCGGUGGGUACGGGCAGACUAGAGUGAUGUAGGGGAGACUGGAAUUCCUGGUGUAGCGGUGAAAUGCGCAGAUAUCAGGAGGAACACCGGUGGCGAAGGCGGCCUGCUGGGAUCUUGCUGACGCUGAGGCGCGACAGCGUGGGGAGCGAACAGG
RNAcentral lists this ribosomal RNA (253 nucleotides) under uncultured bacterium. RNAcentral describes it as "partial 16S ribosomal RNA". It matches the Rfam family "Bacterial small subunit ribosomal RNA", at positions 524 to 776 of the family's 1533-position model. The record is from RNAcentral.